Molecule: long non-coding RNA, 2934 nt
Organism: Macaca mulatta (Rhesus monkey)
Lineage: Eukaryota; Metazoa; Chordata; Mammalia; Primates; Cercopithecidae
Source: RefSeq, a predicted model, not a curated record
GAGCCCCAGUGUGCUGAUGUGGUUGGCUGUUCAGGGUACAGCGAGGUGGGCAGUGGGGUGGAGGCAGAGUGAACAACGAGGGAAAAAACAGAAGGUGAAGUUGGAGAGUUCAGGAGGAUCUAGAAUGUGUAGUUCCCUGACAGCUGCUUUCAGAACCCUGGCUGUUAUUCUGGAAGAUACCAGAACCACUGCAGAAGUCGGAGCUGAGGUAUGACGUAAUUUGACUGGUAUUUUAAAGACAUCCACCUGGCUGCUAUGUUCAGAAUGCCCUCUGGAGGGCCAGAGUGUGGGCAGGAAGCAGAGAAGCCCGCAGGAGCUUAUGUCAACAUCUAUGCAAGAGAUGGCACUGGCUCGACCCGGGAAGGUAGUGCUGGAGGAAAGAAGGAAAAAGAUGACCUGGCCUCCUUGUAAACAUGUGAAUGGCAUACACAUACAGCACAUUUACUAGAAAAGAGGUCUAAGAGUUUGGAUGGCAAAUGAACGAGAAUCUCUGAAUUUAUGGGGUAAUUAGUUUGAGAGCAUCUGUGACAGUCUAAGUGGUGGCCCCCAUGGCACUGCUGUUUUUCUUCUCUAUUCUGUUGCUAAUAAUGUUUUCUUCAUCCCUGGACACCUGUCAGAUACUGAUGAAGUGAACUGGCUCAAGAAAGGGCUGGACCUUGUUAAUUGCAUAGAAAAAACUAUCAAGAUGGCUGAAAUCAAAUGCAAAGAGGCAACAUUAAACAAGACCUAAAAAAAUUUAAAAAAAAAACAAUAAACAAACAAACAAAAAAAACAAGCAACAGACCAUAUCUGGAAGUACAAUUUAUGAUUUUUUUUCAGGUAUUUCAGGUAAUCCAAUGCCAAAAAGCAUCUUAUCUUCUAGUGGUUGGGGAAUCUUCUGGAAAAGAGAUCCAAACCAACUGGCUUCCUUGUCCCCUCUCCAUGUGUGACACAGAGCAGCACCCACUGGAAGGGAAGGACUACAAACGCUGUUUUCCUCACAAGAGUUCCUACAGUUGAUGUGACUUCAGAGACUCCUGUAGACUAUGGAAACAGGGUGGCAAAGCGCCCUGUCCUGAUGGAGUCCACUGCAGAAAGCAGGGUUGUCUGUGGCUGUAAAUUAUUUCACUCUUUGCUCUUGUCCCAGAGAAACAGCUUUAGGUAGCACCUAAAUCUGCAAAUCCAAGAGCCUUGUCCCUCGGAUAAAGAGCUUUGCCUCUGUCUUCCUUGAAAGGAGCUGGGGCACAAGUCACUGCCACCAUCCUCCUUCCUGGCUCCCUGGGUUUUUUCUUUCCCUGAAUUCAGUAUUUUCCCCUCUCUUCCUUCUGCUCAUCCUCUAGAAGCUCUUUGUCCAGUCCUGAAGCAACUGCGAUGGUUUCUAGGUGAUUCUGAGGGAAGGGUGACACGUCAUUUGUCUGGAAGUUUUGUGUAGGCUACGGGUGGGGCAGUGAAAUGGGUUAGCUCCACUGAGCAUUUAAUGACCCAAUUAGAACUUGGAUGACCCAAAAUAUUUUUAAAAAUCAUCUGGAUUGUAUUAGAUGGCUUCAUAUUUAUAACUAUCUAAAAUGGACAAGCCCCUAACACUGAGGAGGCCUUUUGGGGUGAAGACCGAGAAGCUGCCUUAAUGCCAAGGCACGCCUGAGCACAGGUGAGAACAGCCAGGUGCUCUGGAUGUCCACCUACGUCCCUCCAAAGAUCAUCACAAUGCAUCCCUCAUGCCCCACCUCAUCAGUUCAGAGGCUCAAGCUGCCCAUCAUUCUUAUCACCCAAACUCUCAGUCCCACAUGGGUCCAUACGUUUCCUAGUAUCAGCCAAUUUCCAUGCUUCCCUCUCUCCUAAGCCCUUUUUCUGUGUCCCCUGAAAUUCCUGUUCAUGAUAAACUAACUCCCCUGUAUAAUCAGCCUUUUGAAAGGUUUCCCUGUCCACACUGACUUAACUGAAACUGACCCGUCUCCUUUGCAACCUUUUCAAGUGAAGACUGCUUUUCAUUUCAUGUUCAUAUCCUUCAAGGCCAGAGGUGAAGCUGGUUGUCCCCUGGCUCCUUAAUGACACCCCUAAAUGCUUGGGUUCCUCUCCCUUGCAAAACCCACCACUCCUUUGAGACCCAUGCUUCACCCUCACCUCCUCACUGCUGCCCCCGAUCUCCUGGAUGCAGCCCCUCAUUCUUGAGAGGCUGCAGCUUCAGGCUGUUCUCACCUUUCCUCCAAUUCUUGUCAUUAUUCUGGGGACUUGCACUCCUUUAUGAAUAAGCCACCAUCAAUCUAUUCUUUCUGUUUUACCUUCUCAUCCUGCUGACCUUUUUUUCAUCCUUCUAUUCUCAGGAUCCAGGCCCUGUCAUCCUGAGAAAUUGUACCACCUCUGAAAUCCUAAUUCCAAAUAUGUCUCUUUCCAAUGAUCAUCUCUUAUCUUUCUAAAUCUCUUGCUAAGGUAUGAACAUUGUUUAAACUCUUCAACUUCAUCAAGACUUCUAAUUAAAUGGCCCCACAUUUCCUCUCCAGCAUGGGCCUCUCCAAGCCCACCUUCCUUCCUGGUCUGACAGCUUCUGUCAUCCACCACCAGAAGCAUUGCCUGGAAAACACAGAUCUCCAUGGUCCUUUUUAUCUGAAGGCAAAAUCCCAGGUCUGGAAAACGUCACCUUCACCUUCCCUGGGCGUGCACCCCUGCAGCUGAACACAAUGGCACGAUGGCUUUCUCUUAAAUAACUGACCACAAACUUCAAAUGGGCAUUUACAACUUCCUCAAGAUUGUAUUGUGUUUCUCUAGUGACAUGUUUUCUCUUCUUUCUUCCCCUCAACCCUCCAAAAGCAGGGGGUGAAAUAAAAAAGAUGAAAUGAGGAUAGUUACAAAAGAUAGGAGAUAGAAGUUCUUAAAUAGCAAGGGUAAGAAAUAUUUUUAUAAAUUUUGGCAAUAGUUAUGAUAAUUAGAAUUAAGAUAAGAAGUGAAAUAGUUAUAGAA